CAAGUCGAACGGCAGCACGGAGAGCUUGCUCUCUGGUGGCGAGUGGCGAACGGGUGAGUAAUAUAUCGGAACGUGUCCAAUAAUGGGGGAUAACGAGUCGAAAGAUUCGCUAAUACCGCAUACGCCCUACGGGGGAAAGCAGGGGAUCGUAAGACCUUGCGUUAAUGGAGCGGCCGAUAUCUGAUUAGCUUGUUGGUGAGGUAAAGGCUCACCAAGGCGACGAUCAGUAGCUGGUUUGAGAGAACGACCAGCCACACUGGAACUGAGACACGGUCCAGACUCCUACGGGAGGCAGCAGUGGGGAAUUUUGGACAAUGGGGGCAACCCUGAUCCAGCCAUUCCGCGUGAGUGAAGAAGGCCUUCGGGUUGUAAAGCUCUUUCGCAAGGGAAGAAAACUUAUGAUCGAAUAAAUCAUGAGGUUGACGGUACCUUGAUAAGAAGCACCGGCUAACUACGUGCCAGCAGCCGCGGUAAUACGUAGGGUGCGAGCGUUAAUCGGAAUUACUGGGCGUAAAGCGUGCGCAGGCGGUUUUGUAAGUCGGAUGUGAAAUCCCCGGGCUCAACCUGGGAACUGCGUUCGAAACUGCAAGGCUAGAGUGUGUCAGAGGGGGGUAGAAUUCCACGUGUAGCAGUGAAAUGCGUAGAGAUGUGGAGGAAUACCAAUGGCGAAGGCAGCCCCCUGGGAUAACACUGACGCUCAUGCACGAAAGCGUGGGGAGCAAACAGGAUUAGAUACCCUGGUAGUCCACGCCCUAAACGAUGUCAACUAGUUGUUGGUAGAGUAAAAUCUAUGAGUAACGUAGCUAACGCGUGAAGUUGACCGCCUGGGGAGUACGGUCGCAAGAUUAAAACUCAAAGGAAUUGACGG
Molecule: ribosomal RNA, 868 nt
Filed under: uncultured bacterium
Lineage: Bacteria
Description: bacterial SSU rRNA
Rfam family: Bacterial small subunit ribosomal RNA
Source: RNAcentral